UUCAGAUUAUAAACUGGCUCGAGUAGGUGCAUGGGUGUGUUGGUUCAGGUGCUUCUGGAAAGCCCCUGCCCUUGCUCAGCACAUGGUCAUGUCCGCACCGUGUUUCUGCCCGGAGUGGAGUACUCUCUAACACAAUUGUCAAUGCCCUGCACCUAGUGGACGCUUGAUACUUGUUAAAUGGACAGAUGCAUCACUCUGGUAUGGCUGAGCUCACCCGGAUGACCUCAUUUCAUCUGCUCCUCCUUCCUCCCAGAGUCACAGCCACACAGACUUUCUGUGUUUCUUUGAACCUGCCACCCUUGGUCUCAUGAUCACUUGACCUUGUCCUUGAGCCUUUGCAUGGGCUGUGCUCUCUAACCAGCUGUCUCACUGUGUCACUGGCUCUUCUCUUCGAGGUCUCAGCUCAAAUGCCGCCUCCUUAAAGAGGUUUUCCUAACCACCCAGUCCAAAGGAGAUCCUCCAGUCACUCUCAUAUUACCCUGUGCAGUUUUCUUCAUAGCACUUAACAUGAUUAGACACUCUCAUAUUUAUUUAUUUUCCUAUAUCUCACUAGAACACCCUCCAGAGGAAAAGGGCCUGUCGUUUAAGGGUCCGUUGUGCCAGGCACUAAAACAGGUGCUCAGUAAAUAUUUGUUGAAUAAAUUAAUGAAUUCCAGAGGGCUAAGAAAACAGUUGUGUGAUUCUAAGGAAUGCUGACAUUUUGAAAAGAACUUGCAGACUCCAUCUUAGUCAUUUCCCCCCUUGUUAAUGUCUUCUGGGCCACAACAGGUACCAGAGCCCCAUGUGUAGGAAAUGCCCCCUCAGCGUGCUCCCACCUUGUCCCCCAUGGGUAGGAUGGCACCCAGACCAGACAGCACCCUCCCUGCCCCUUGCUUCUGGAGUGUUCCUUCCCUCCUGCCUUGACGUCCUCUUUUCCCUCUGACCUCCCAGUCACCUGGGCAGCUCCUCCUCUGCUCUGCACCAUUCUUGCUUGUGUGGGCAGCACAGCAUGGUUACUGGACUGCCUGGGGAAUCCCAAGACCAACCUCUGAUCCUAAAUCUCAGUGUGCUAUUGGGCAAGAUGAUCGACUUUUCUGAACUGUGUGUGUGUGUGUGUGUGUGUUUUUUCCUCCUGAAAAUGUACAAAGAUCCUACCCCGAAAUCAAUGAAUGACUUUUAUUCUCCUUCUCUACUGUGCUAUUGAGCUUGUAGUAGUCAGAUGAACUUGUGAAAUCACAAUCCAUAAGUUAGUAUUUUGCCCAUAAAUGACAGAUCCACACCCAAUUUUUCUUCUGCCAUUCACUUGGAACAUUUUCUUUCUCUUAUUUCUCAUAAAUUUAUUUUUCUAGCUCAGAUCAGCUGCUUAGCAAUCUCUCUUAAGCUCAGAACCAGCUCUGGCUGCCUCCUAACCGUCAGAAGUGGCACUCUGGCCUACAUUCAGUAUGGCCCUACAAGACUUACAUGCCCAGAGCGCAUUUCAAAUUCUGCUUUUUGGUUAAAUGAGAAAAGUGAAAGCAUUAGCAUCAGAAGUCAGAAGAGUCAGUGUGUGUGAGUGUGUGUGUGUGUGUGUGUGUGUGUGUAUGUUGGGGAAGGUUUUCCAUAAGACAGAGUCUCCCUGUACUGCAUCCACCUUCUCCUUGAACCUGACCCCACCUAGUAAUGGCCGUUGUCUUGCAGUUCAAGCUAAAGAAAAGGAAAAAAGAAAGUCUGACCCAUUUUGACAGAUCCUGGUUCUCUCUCUUCAUUUUCAUAGACCAGAGAUUUUCAAGUUCAGCUCUCAUGCUGAGCUGGUGUCAUGCAAUUUCCAGGCUCCUUCCUGUCUUCCUCCUCAUUCCAUAAAGCCCCUGAUAAUGGAAAGAAGGGAGAGACAAAGACACCUAGAAGAAGCUGGCUUUUGUCACAUUUAAGGUAGAAUUUGUUCAUUUGUGUUCUCUCUCAUUAAUAAAAUUGCUAAGGCAUC
This is a long non-coding RNA of Bubalus bubalis (water buffalo), 1939 nucleotides long. RefSeq lists it as uncharacterized. The record is from RefSeq and is a predicted model, not a curated record. The transcript is spliced from 2 exons. Lineage: Eukaryota; Metazoa; Chordata; Mammalia; Artiodactyla; Bovidae.